GACGGAGGAUGCAAGCGUUAUCCGGAAUGAUUGGGCGUAAAGCGUCCGCAGGUGGCAGUUCAAGUCUGCUGUCAAAGACCGGGGCUUAACUUCGGAAAGGCAGUGGAAACUGAACAGCUAGAGUAUGGUAGGGGCAGAGGGAAUUCCUGGUGUAGCGGUGAAAUGCGUAGAGAUCAGGAAGAACAUCGGUGGCGAAGGCGCUCUGCUGGGCCGACACUGACACUGAGAGACGAAAGCUAGGGGAGCGAAUGGG
This 253-nucleotide ribosomal RNA is filed under the name uncultured bacterium. RNAcentral's name for it is "partial 16S ribosomal RNA". It matches the Rfam family "Bacterial small subunit ribosomal RNA", at positions 524 to 776 of the family's 1533-position model. The record is from RNAcentral.